GUCCCUGUAGCGCAAUGGAUAGAACGUUGGACUUCUAAUCCAAAGGUCGUGGGUUCGAAUCCUACCUGGGAUG
This is a non-coding RNA of Trichonephila inaurata madagascariensis, 73 nucleotides long. The record is from the annotation of a GenBank genome assembly. NCBI's taxonomy places the organism in Eukaryota, Metazoa, Arthropoda, Arachnida, Araneae, Nephilidae.